This 135-nucleotide ribosomal RNA is filed under the name Triticum aestivum (bread wheat). RNAcentral's name for it is "partial small subunit ribosomal RNA". The record is from RNAcentral. Lineage: Eukaryota; Viridiplantae; Streptophyta; Magnoliopsida; Poales; Poaceae.
AUGUUCUACCUCGUGAUAUCGAUCCCGGCGAUCCUCCUGUUGCUCGUCCUGGCGCUGGGGUGCUACAUGCUCGGCCGGAACCGCGGCCGAUCGGCCGCGCCGCAGCAGUUCGCGCCACCGGCGCCGCCCAAGUAG